GAUCCUGGCUUAGGAUGAACGCUAGCUACAGGCUUAACACAUGCAAGUCGUGGGGCAGCAUAUAGAUAGCUUGCUAUUAUGAUGGCGACCGGCGCACGGGUGAGUAACGCGUAUCCAACCUUCCCCAUAGUAGGGUAUAGCCCGGCGAAAGUCGGAUUAAUCCCCUAUGUUGUUUGAAGCGGACAUCUAAUUCAAACCAAAGAUUUAUCGCUAUGGGAUGGGGAUGCGUCUGAUUAGGUUGCAGGCGGGGUAACGGCCCACCUGGCCGACGAUCAGUAGGGGUUCUGAGAGGAAGGUCCCCCACACUGGUACUGAGACACGGACCAGACUCCUACGGGAGGCAGCAGUGAGGAAUAUUGGUCAAUGGGCGCGAGCCUGAACCAGCCAAGUAGCGUGCAGGAUGACGGCCCUACGGGUUGUAAACUGCUUUUAUGCGGGGAUAAAGUGCGGCACGUGUGCCGUUUUGCAGGUACCGCAUGAAUAAGGACCGGCUAAUUCCGUGCCAGCCGCCGC
This 513-nucleotide ribosomal RNA is filed under the name uncultured bacterium. RNAcentral's name for it is "bacterial SSU rRNA". It matches the Rfam family "Bacterial small subunit ribosomal RNA", at positions 15 to 518 of the family's 1533-position model. The record is from RNAcentral.